RNAcentral lists this long non-coding RNA (488 nucleotides) under Homo sapiens (human). Its description in RNAcentral is "non-protein coding lnc-CIB1-3:1". Lineage: Eukaryota; Metazoa; Chordata; Mammalia; Primates; Hominidae. The record is from RNAcentral.
CGGCCUCCCAAGUAACUGGGACUGUAGGCACAUUCUGCCAUGCCCAGCUCUUAAUAUAAACUUUAAAAUGUGGCUGGAGAUUAUAAGGGCCCUAAAGCCUUUGCCUGCUUUGUAUUUUCUGCCAACCCCUCAUUUCCCAAUCUCUGCCAGAACCCCAGCAACUAAAAGAAAGGCGUCCAGUUUUCAGUUGUCAGAAUCCCUCACUAAGCAGGAUGCUCUGCACAGAGCCCUUUGCUGGGAAAUUCCUCUGGUUCCAUCUCUCUCCCAAUGUUUACUGACCAGGGAUCCUUCCUUUCUGCCUUUGUCCUUCCCUCUCUCCACUGCAGGGAGCAGCUUUGAGGUAUUUCCAGAGCCCCGGAGGUGCUGCAGCGAGUGGGCAAGCCCAGCUUUCUUAAGGACUUUUUGAUCCUGCUUCAGCUUCUGCUCCAAUGUGGGUAAAAACUUGCUUUUUAAAACUCUUCGGAUCACAUCAGUGCUGACAUCAAAGC